Small nuclear RNA from Emys orbicularis (European pond turtle), 141 nucleotides. RefSeq annotates it as U4 spliceosomal RNA. The record is from RefSeq and is a predicted model, not a curated record. The transcript has a single exon. Lineage: Eukaryota; Metazoa; Chordata; Testudines; Emydidae.
CUGGUCACGCAGUGGCAGUAUCAUAGCCAAUGAGGUUAAUCUGAGGUGUGAUUAUUGCUAGUUGAAAACUUCUUUGCUCUUUUUGGAUGAAAAGUGAUAUAUGUAUAUAUGCAAUGAAUUAUUUUGGAUAAUAUUUCAUAU